CGGCAGCACGGAGCUUGCUCUGGUGGCGAGUGGCGAACGGGUGAGUAAUGCGUCGGAACGUGUCCACUAAUGGGGGAUAACGCAUCGAAAGAUGUGCUAAUACCGCAUACGACCUACGGGAGAAAGCAGGGGACCCUCGGGCCUUGCGUUAGUGGAGCGGCCGACGUCUGAUUAGCUAGUUGGUGAGGUAAAGGCUCACCAAGGCGACGACCAGUAGCUGGUCUGAGAGGAUGAUCAGCCACACUGGAACUGAGACACGGUCCAGACUCCUACGGGAGGCAGCAGUGGGGAAUUUUGGACAAUGGGCGCAAGCCUGAUCCAGCCAUUCCGCGUGAGUGAAGAAGGCCUUCGGGUUGUAAAGCUCUUUCAACAGGGAAGAAACGGUAGUGGUUAAUAACCACUAGUAAUGACGGUACCUGUAGAAGAAGCACCGGCUAACUACGUGCCAGCAGCCGCGGUAAUACGUAGGGUGCGAGCGUUAAUCGGAAUUACUGGGCGUAAAGCGUGCGCAGGCGGUUUUUCAAGUCUGAUGUGAAAUCCCCGGGCUUAACCUGGGAACUGCGUUGGAAACUGAAAGACUAGAGUACGGCAGAGGGGGGUAGAAUUCCACGUGUAGCAGUGAAAUGCGUAGAUAUGUGGAGGAAUACCGAUGGCGAAGGCAGCCCCCUGGGUCGAUACUGACGCUCAUGCACGAAAGCGUGGGUAGCAAACAGGAUUAGAUACCCUGGUAGUCCACGCCCUAAACGAUGUCAACUAGUUGUUGGGGAGGGAGACCUCCUUAGUAACGCAGCUAACGCGUGAAGUUGACCGCCUGGGGAGUANNGUCGCAAGAUUAAAACUCAAAGGAAUUGANNGGGGCCCGCACAAGCGGUGGAUUAUGUGGAUUANNUCGAUGCNACGCGAAAANCCUUACCUACCCNUGAC
This 924-nucleotide ribosomal RNA is filed under the name uncultured bacterium. Its description in RNAcentral is "bacterial SSU rRNA". It matches the Rfam family "Bacterial small subunit ribosomal RNA", at positions 67 to 985 of the family's 1533-position model. The record is from RNAcentral.